Molecule: non-coding RNA, 46 nt
Filed under: Trichobilharzia regenti
Lineage: Eukaryota; Metazoa; Platyhelminthes; Trematoda; Strigeidida; Schistosomatidae
Source: RNAcentral
GUACUGACGAAGCGCCCUAGAAUAGGGCGAAACAGCCGUCCAGUAC